RNAcentral lists this ribosomal RNA (322 nucleotides) under uncultured eukaryote. Its description in RNAcentral is "partial 18S ribosomal RNA". It matches the Rfam family "Eukaryotic small subunit ribosomal RNA", at positions 1470 to 1796 of the family's 1831-position model. The record is from RNAcentral.
CCCUUAGAUGUUCUGGGCCGCACGCGUGCUACACUGAACGGUUCAAUGGGUGAGGUAGUGCGAAAGCAUAACCUAAUCUCGAAAUCCGUUCGUGCUGGGGAUAGAAGCUUGCAAUUAUCCUUCUUGAACGAGGAAUACCUUGUAGGCGUGAGUCAUCAUCUCGCGCCGAAUACGUCCCUGCCCUUUGUACACACCGCCCGUCGCUCCUACCGAUUGAGUGUUCCGGUGAGGCUUUGGGAGAGCUGGGUGGAUUGUGUUUCACGAACUGCUCGGUUUGAACUUAGUCAAACCUUAUCACUUAGAGGAAGGAGAAGUCGUAACA